AGCAGCCGCGGUAAUUCCAGCUCCAAUAGCGUAUAUUAAAGUUGUUGCAGUUAAAAAGCUCGUAGUUGAAUUUCGGGAUCAAUACGUCGGUCGUGCUUCGGUACGUACUGGCGUAAUUGAUUUCUCCCUUCUGACGAACCAUGAUGUCAUUAACUUGGUGUCAUGGGAAAUCAGGACUGUUACUUUGAAAAAAUUAGAGUGUUUAAAGCAGGCUCACGCUUGAAUACAUUAGCAUGGAAUAAUGAAAUAGGACGUUCGAUCCUAUUUUGUUGGUUUUAGGAUCAACGUAAUGAUUAAUAGGGAUAGUUGGGGGCAUUAGUAUUCAAUUGUCAGAGGUGAAAUUCUUGGAUUUAUUGAAGACUAACUACUGCGAAAGCAUUUGCCAAGGAUGUUUUCAUUAAUCAAGAACGAAAGUUAGGGGAUCGAAGACGAUCAGAUACCGUCGUAGUCUUAACCAUAAACUAUGCCGACNAGGGAUCGGAUGAUGUUAAUUUUUUAAUGACUCAUUCGGCGCCUACGG
RNAcentral lists this unclassified non-coding RNA (520 nucleotides) under uncultured Glomus. RNAcentral's name for it is "SSU rRNA". It matches the Rfam family "Eukaryotic small subunit ribosomal RNA", at positions 569 to 1092 of the family's 1831-position model. The record is from RNAcentral. Lineage: Eukaryota; Fungi; Glomeromycota; Glomeromycetes; Glomerales; Glomeraceae.